Mauremys reevesii (Reeves's turtle) is the source of this 545-nucleotide RNA transcript. It is a transcript of the gene named hepcidin-2-like, with no coding region annotated. The transcript is spliced from 3 exons. The record is from RefSeq and is a predicted model, not a curated record. Lineage: Eukaryota; Metazoa; Chordata; Testudines; Geoemydidae.
CCAAUCACUGACUCCACUGGCCAGGAGGGCUCUGAGCUAGUGAAUAAAUACAGGCCCUUGUAGCUCCCAGCUCCACUCAGCUGCUUGCGGAGAAGACCCAACCCCGAGAGAAGAUGAGAGUCCAGAUGCUGGCUGUCCUGCUCCUGUUCGUGUCCCUCCUUUGUGCCGAGGGAAUCCGCGGAGCGUCCCUGGCUGGGAGCCGUGACUGCUGGUCAAACAAACACGGGCACAAGUGAGUCCCUGCUGUCCCACUCUGACAGGACUCGGAGUCCCAGCACUCGGAGGAAGGCCGAGGCGAGUCCAAGGUGAUGGUGAAGAGAGAAGCGAGUUUCGCUAGAUGUCGCUUCUGCUGUAACUGCUGUCCUAGGAUGAGCGGCUGUGGAAUCUGCUGCGACUUCUGACCCCCUUUCCCCGUCACCCAGUCGGUGCCUGGAGGCUCCCCAGCCCGUCCUGGGAGCAGAUCGAAGCCAGCCUGGGGCUGAAUUUGCCUGGGAUCAGGGGGACGCUAACCCUCCUGCUCAACCCCAAUAAAGUGUCUGCCUAGA